UUUUUCAAAUACUCGAUCACAACAUAGGAGUAAAAGCUUUAGAGUGCGAUCUAGCAGUUUCGGGAUAACAACUUUCUACUAGAUCGCAAGGAGGAGUGAAAGUGUCCACAGAACCUCAAUGACAAACCUUGCUCCCAUAAAGUCCACUGGAUUUCAAUCUCCACUGAAACUCCAAAAAGACCAUGAUGUUUCCACUUGUAGCCGAUGACACAAAAUUAAAGGAUCAAUGGCCCAUACACGAUCACAAGGCGCGUGAAUUGAAGGAACCUCAUCCUGCCCACAUAAAGCACCAUGUUUUGUCACCUUAUCACUUUGCCGACAUCAUAACAGGCAUUGCAUCUCAUCUGUCCGUUUAAAAGCAACACACCUCCUCCACUCAUUCAAAUCGCAAAGGGAGAUAAGUGUCACUAUUGUUCACUUUUCUUUGUAACUUGUGAUUUCAAAACAUCUCUCUUGUUUAUCUCUCUACUUCACUACCAAAAACGCUCUCAACUCUUUCAUUGUUGCUAGCUGUUAUUGACUAAAACAGAACCUCAGAAACCACUCUAUCGCAACCCUGUCUCUCCUUUGCUUGCUUCACUCGAUCGCUACCUGAGAUCUCACCAUCAAAUUCUACUCGAUCGCAACUCUGUCUCAACAGGAAGUCAUUUCUUUCAUUCUCUUUGUUUGUUUCUCACUAACCUACUAAGCUUUAGUUGUGAGUUUCAAAUCAAUUUCAGCUUCAAGAUGAGUUCACACAGCUAAGAAUCAUCUAUGAAUGCCGACUACAAUGUUGAUGAGGCUGAAUCUUGGUCAACUAGGCCAGAGAGAGAAGCAGAGGAGUACAUGCGAUUUGUGGAGGAAACAGAGCGAGCAGUCGCCAAUGACAGAAGAAGAGAAGAUAUUUCCAAAGGAAAACGGACAAUGACAGAGAACCAUGAGUUGGUCGAUGAAGAGAUGGAUGAUGAUGCAGAGUACAUUCCGGAGCAAACCCGCAAGACCACUAAGUCCUUGAUGAAAGAAGACAAGCUGACCCCGGGAGACUACUACAAGGUUCUCAAAAGUAAUCCGUUUUGGGGAACAAGAUAUCCUCAUCCGGAUACAAUGGUUGAGUUAGGCAUCCUGUAGGACGUUCAGCUCUUGUUCGAGAAAUGCCACAUGACAACACGCAUGUCUCAUCUCUAUCCUACCUAUGAGGAUGAGACACUUCAAUUCCUUUCAUCACUUCAAGUGGAAUUGUUUGAGGGGUUGUCAGCUGCUGAGUUUAGAGAAUAAGGGCUUGGUUACUUAAGUUUCACCAUCGACGAUCGCGGCUAUAUCUUGGCGAUCAAGACGCUGGAAUCCAUGUUUGGGUUUCCCAGCAGCACGGGAACGAAACCAAGGUUUGCCCGAGAAGAAUUAAAAUCUUUGUUGAACACGAUCGGAGACACCACCAGCUUCAACUCCGCUAGAUCCAAGAGCAACUUCAUCCGCAAUCCCGCCAUUCGCUAUUUCCAGAGAGCCAUGGCCAGUGUCCCUUACGCUAGGGAGAUAUCUGCCACUGUUACGAACCAAGACAUGGAGACGUUAGACGUGGCGCUGCUGAGUUUCGUCUGUUACACCAAGGACGAGAAAACAAUGAAAGAAGAUACCAAUAACACACCACCGUCAAUGUAUCUCCUCAAUCACCUAUGUAGCUAUAGAGGGUGGGCGCUGGCCAAUGACAAGAAGAAUGCAAAAGGAGCCUUUUGCAUUGGAGGAGUAUUCACACCAAUCCUUCUAUUGUGCGACAACCCGCUGCGAUCGAAUCCAAUCCAACCACGUUGGAUGGAUAUCGCCCAUCUCAAGCUUGACCAUGUGAUCGAGCAUAAGGUCUAUGACAUGAGGUACGCUUUCAAGUUUGAUCACCCAUCAACAGGAGAAGCAACUAUUCUUCUCCCAUUCAGCGAGAUGACAACCAUCACGGUGAGAGACAACAUCGACUUCUCGCCACCACAAGAAAUCAUCCAUGUUGUGAUUGGAGGAUCAACGUCCCAGAAUGUUGAAGAAGUAGAAGGUCAGAGUGAUAAUGAGGAGACCAACUGGGAGAACUAUGACACUAGCCGGUACAACUUUGAAGAACACAAGCCCCCUUCACGAGAAAGCAAGAGUCUCGCUGAAGCACACCGGAAUCUCAAUCUAACCCAAAUGUGAUGCAAGUUUCAAGACAAGAUCAUCCAUAAGUGUGUCAAGGCCAUUGACAAUAUGUAGAAGGCAAUCAGCUACACCACAUCUCCAGCAGUGCGAUCACCAAAGACAACCCGCGAGAAGACAUGCCAUCCAGGCGUCAUGACAUUGCCCCGCCAAGGCAAUCUGCUUAUCAACAGAGAGAACGCGCUGCCUCCACAAGAACAUGCACGACACUCGUCUCACGAGGUCAAGGAGCACAAAAGAAGGAAGAGCGCUAGGAUGGUCCGAUCAUCAAGCAAGGGUCGGAUAAUGUCGGGCCAGAGAACACAUGAGCGUCGUGCUCCACAACCUGUUGUGGUUGCAAUCGAGCACAGGAGAUGGCGGAGCCACAUCAAGAACCGGUCAUGCCUGCUGAGUACACUCAAGCAGAUAUGGAUGACUACAUCUCCAGGACAUUCUACUGAGGUAACACACCAAAACCCUUUGUAAAUACCGCUUUUUUU
Molecule: small RNA, 2630 nt
Filed under: Arabidopsis thaliana (thale cress)
Lineage: Eukaryota; Viridiplantae; Streptophyta; Magnoliopsida; Brassicales; Brassicaceae
Description: ATSL169390
Source: RNAcentral